Triticum urartu is the source of this 2999-nucleotide non-coding RNA. Lineage: Eukaryota; Viridiplantae; Streptophyta; Magnoliopsida; Poales; Poaceae. The record is from RefSeq and is a predicted model, not a curated record.
CUCUCUUUCUCUCUCUCUCUCUCUCUCCCAGUCCGGCCCAAUCCUUCUCUCUCUCCCCACCUCUCCCAGCCACCACCGCACCGCGCCCCAGCCUCGCAUUCCCGACGCCGCCCAGCACCGCCACCAGCCCGCCCCACCCCGCCAUCGCAGCCCGCCCCUCCACCGUUCCAGGCCGCGGCGCCGCCCCCUCCCCCAACCCUCGAGGCUCUUUCCCCUUCCCCCAACCCUAGCCGCCGCACGCAGCAGCCAUGGCGGACUGCACCUUUAGCGCUGGCAGCCGCCGCUCGUCCAUGAUGUGAAGCCAUCCCUGCCCUGCUCGCCUUCGUCCGCUGCCGUCGCGGACCGUCUCCCCCGUCCCCGACCACACAUCCCCGCCCUCGUCUGCCGCCAUCACCGACCGGCUCCUCCGUCCCCGACAAGUCAUCCCCGUCCUGCUCGCCGUCUUCCGCCGAAGAACCCGGUGGCUGUGUCGACUCUCUGCCUCCCCGACCACCUCUUUCGAUUUUGCGAAGGGGAGGUUGCAUUGCCCGGAGAAAAGGCAGAGGAGGGUGAUGCUGAUGAUGCAGCAACAUCAUUAAGGGAGGCAAAGGAGGAGAUUGGGCUUGAUCCAGCCUCGGUCACUGUCGUUUCCUCGCUUGAGCACUUCUUGCCCAAGUUGUUACAUCGCUGCGAGGGUCUGGUGUUCGACGACCUCCCCGUGCGUUCAACGAGCUCCGCCCCGGCGUUCGUGGUAGCUAGGCCAGAUGAGUGAUCGUGCGUGGAUGUACACCGCUAGUCAGAAAGACAUGACCCAUGAAUGGAUAACAAAAACCAAGGGGUUUGUGAGAGUCGCAUUUGCAAAUGGACAGAGACAAACCUGGUGCCCAUGUGUCGAGUGCGACAACUAUCAUAAGAGGUCAGAGUUUGAAAUGAUCAAACACCUGCAGAAGUGGGGUUUUACGCCUAAUUAUACAGUCUGGACAUUUCAUGGUGAGUCUGCCCAACGUGCCAGAGCUGAGGAGGGCCGUCGUCGCACCGACGAGCAUGGUACCGGGAUGGAAGACAUGGUGGAUCCAACCUGAGCCUAUUCAAAGGGAAGCAUAAUCCAAAGCCUCUGUACAAUGCUGGCGACCCUAAAAAGGGUGCAUAAUCCAAAGACAUGGUGCAUAAUCCAAAGAAAGGGUGCAUAUUCCAAAGACAUGGUGCAUAAUCCGAAGCCUCGGUACAAUGCUGGCGAACCUAAAAAGGGUGGAUCCAACCUCAGCCUAUUCAAAGGGAAGCUCGCACCAGCCGGUGCUUAUACUCCCUUAUUGUUGGAUGUCGACGAAUGGCGGACCAUUACGUUGUAUAUCUUGAACAAUCUAACAGAAGUGCGGCCGUACAUCGAGUCUUGGAAACACGGUCGUGGUGUCCGCAGGCCCAACACAGUCCUUGGUGUGAUUUGUUGCCAGAGCUUCCCGGAUUGGGUCACGUUGCCUGGUGAGGGCCAGGCUCCAGAGCUAGGAAUGACCUGGGAGCACUACUUGGCUGCCCCGGCCCCGCCGGGGGAGAGGAUCGGCGGUGUCGAGUGCCACAUCGUGGCCGACGUUGUGAUCCAGACGUUUUGGACCUUUUACAGGUGUGCUGAGGGACAGGAAGAGGCCGCGGCUCGGGUUAUCGAAGCCGAGUGCAGGCGGCUACUUCAAAACUGGCGGAACGGGGCUCGGACGCAGGCUACUCGAGACUACUUUGUUCCUCUCUUUUAGGCGUGGAACAACAAGACGGAUGUACCAGAGUUGUUCGACCUCUAUGCCAUGGCCCAUAGUGCCUCGUAUAAGAAGGCCAAGGCAUUCUCUGAGUCUAAUCUCGAUGAUCCAAAGAACUUCACCAACCGCGCCUCCCACAACAAGCUACAGAGAUGAGGGGAAGGCGAGGAAAGGGCCGGACUUUAACCUGAGCCAGCCUAUUAUCCAGAGCUGGUGAUGAUAUCUGGUGGCGGGAGGAACCAUGGCUUGUUAGCCAUUGGGGAUGGACUGAUACGUUGUACUAGCACUCUCCGCAGAUCAAGAAGCGCCAGACGAGCUCCGAUCCUGAGAGAAGGCCUCGUCCACGACCAAUGGAUCUUGAAAUCAAGGCUGCUAUUGAGGAAGAGAGAGCAAAUACCCAGGAGCUUCUGGCGGAGGAAAGGAGGCAGGCGGCGGAGAGGGAGAGGGAGACUGAGGAGAGGACAGCUAGGCUUUUGGAAGAGGAGAGGAACCGGAACGACUUAGCUAACCGAGCCAUAUAGGAGCUCUUCGCGUCCAUGUGCGAGAAGACCGGUCAGACCCCUCCGCCGAUGCCAGUCAUUGCUCCGGCGGACACGCAUAACUCCUGACAAGCAUCGACGUCUGCCAUUGGUGCGAGCAAGAACCCCGAUCCUUCACCUACGGGUUGACGUGACAGAGGUGACGUGGCAUCGUUAACGUGGGAUUACUGUAGCAUGAUUACCCGGACAUUACACCUUUCCUCCAUUACAUUAUGUGUGUGGCCGUCGAUGAUUACAAUGCUAAAGAGGAGUGGUGUUGUAGCCUGCUAUUGAGGAAGAGAGAGCAAAGACCCAGGAGCUUCUGGCGGAGGAAAGGGGGCAGGCGGCAGAGUGGGAGAGGGAGACUGAGGAGAGGACAGCUAGGCUUUUGGAGGAGGAGAGGAACCGGAACGACUUGGCUAACCAUGCCAUAUACGAGCUCUUCACGUCCAUGUGCGAGAAGAACGGUCAGACCCCUCCGUCGAUGCCAGUCAUUGCUCCGGCGGACACGCAUAACUCCCGACAAGCAUCGACGUCUGCCAUUGGCGGGAGCAAGAACCCCGAUCCUUCACCUAUGGGUUGACGAUUUGCUUCAGAUCACGGAAGCUUGGGUUGAUGGAGUGCUUGUCUUUAGUUUUUGUUUUGACUUUGUGAAACUUGCUACCUAUGAUGAAACUGUGUAAUAUUGAUGAAACUAUGUAUAUGUAUGGAUGAAACUUGCUACUAUUGGUAAUAUGUGUUGGAUAUGUGUUGGAUA